GUGGAACAAGGGAUGCUGAUGGACACAACCAUUGGUUCUUUCACCAUUCCUCCUGCCUCCUUGUCAACAUUUGAUGUUAUCAGUGUUAUUUGCUGGGUGCCAAUCUAUGAUAGGAUCAUUGUUCCGAUUGCCAGGAAGUUCACAGGAAAAGAGAGGGGCUUCUCUCAAUUGCAACGGAUGGGAAUUGGCCUUUUCAUUUCAGUUUUAUCCAU
This 212-nucleotide unclassified non-coding RNA is filed under the name Hevea brasiliensis (rubber tree). The record is from RNAcentral. Lineage: Eukaryota; Viridiplantae; Streptophyta; Magnoliopsida; Malpighiales; Euphorbiaceae.